This 1372-nucleotide ribosomal RNA is filed under the name uncultured bacterium. RNAcentral describes it as "bacterial SSU rRNA". It matches the Rfam family "Bacterial small subunit ribosomal RNA", at positions 28 to 1381 of the family's 1533-position model. The record is from RNAcentral.
GAUGAACGCUGGCUGCGUGCCUAAUACAUGCAAGUCGAGCGAACGGACGAGAAGCUUGCUUCUCUGAUGUUAGCGGCGGACGGGUGGGUAACACGUGGAUAACCUACCUAUAAGACUGGGAUAACUUCGGGAAACCGGAGCUAAUACCGGAUAAUAUUUUGAACCGCAUGGUUCAAAAGUGAAAGACGGUCUUGCUGUCACUUAUAGAUGGAUCCGCGCUGCAUUAGCUAGUUGGUAAGGUAACGGCUUACCAAGGCAACGAUGCAUAGCCGACCUGAGAGGGUGAUCGGCCACACUGGAACUGAGACACGGUCCAGACCCCUACGGGAGGCAGCAGUAGGGAAUCUUCCGCAAUGGGCGAAAGCCUGACGGAGCAACGCCGCGUGAGUGAUGAAGGUCUUCGGAUCGUAAAACUCUGUUAUUAGGGAAGAACAUAUGUGUAAGUAACUGUGCACAUCUUGACGGUACCUAAUCAGAAAGCCACGGCUAACUACGUGCCAGCAGCCGCGGUAAUACGUAGGUGGCAAGCGUUAUCCGGAAUUAUUGGGCGUAAAGCGCGCGUAGGCGGUUUUUUAAGUCUGAUGUGAAAGCCCACGGCUCAACCGUGGAGGGUCAUUGGAAACUGGAAAACUUGAGUGCAGAAGAGGAAAGUGGAAUUCCAUGUGUAGCGGUGAAAUGCGCAGAGAUAUGGAGGAACACCAGUGGCGAAGGCGACUUUCUGGUCUGUAACUGACGCUGAUGUGCGAAAGCGUGGGGAUCAAACAGGAUUAGAUACCCUGGUAGUCCACGCCGUAAACGAUGAGUGCUAAGUGUUAGGGGGUUUCCGCCCCUUAGUGCUGCAGCUAACGCAUUAAGCACUCCGCCUGGGGAGUACGACCGCAAGGUUGAAACUCAAAGGAAUUGACGGGGACCCGCACAAGCGGUGGAGCAUGUGGUUUAAUUCGAAGCAACGCGAAGAACCUUACCAAAUCUUGACAUCCUUUGACAACUCUAGAGAUAGAGCUUUCCCCUUCGGGGGACAAAGUGACAGGUGGUGCAUGGUUGUCGUCAGCUCGUGUCGUGAGAUGUUGGGUUAAGUCCCGCAACGAGCGCAACCCUUAAGCUUAGUUGCCAUCAUUAAGUUGGGCACUCUAAGUUGACUGCCGGUGACAAACCGGAGGAAGGUGGGGAUGACGUCAAAUCAUCGUGCCCCUUAUGAUUUGGGCUACACACGUGCUACAAUGGACAAUACAAAGGGCAGCGAAACCGCGAGGUCAAGCAAAUCCCAUAAAGUUGUUCUCAGUUCGGAUUGUAGUCUGCAACUCGACUACAUGAAGCUGGAAUCGCUAGUAAUCGUAGAUCAGCAUGCUACGGUGAAUACGUUCCCGGGUCU